This 491-nucleotide ribosomal RNA is filed under the name uncultured Lachnospiraceae bacterium. RNAcentral's name for it is "partial 16S ribosomal RNA". Lineage: Bacteria; Bacillati; Bacillota; Clostridia; Lachnospirales; Lachnospiraceae. The record is from RNAcentral.
CACGUAGUUAGCCGGGGCUUCUUAGUCAGGUACCGUCAUUUUUUCUUCCCUGCUGAUAGAGCUUUACAUACCGAAAUACUUCUUCACUCACGCGGCGUCGCUGGAUCAGGGUUUCCCCCAUUGUCCAAUAUUCCCCACUGCUGCCUCUCGUAGGAGUUUGAGCCGUGUCUCAGUCCCAAUGUGGCCGUCCACCCUCUCAGGCCGGCUACUGAUCGUCGCCUUGGUGGGCCGUUACCCCACCAACCAGCUAAUCAGACGCGGGUCCAUCAUAUACCACCGUAGUUUUUCACACUGUCUCAUGCAAUACUGUGCGCUUAUGCGGUAUUAGCACCUAUUUCUAAGUGUUAUCCCCCUGUAUAUGGCAGGUUACCCACGCGCUACUCACCCGUCCGCCACUAAGUCAUCAACAUUUCCACUCUUAGCAAGCUAAUUGCUUCAAAAAUGAUGACUCCGUUCGACUUGCAUGUGUUAAGCACGCCGCCAGCGUUCAU